RNAcentral lists this ribosomal RNA (285 nucleotides) under uncultured delta proteobacterium. RNAcentral describes it as "partial 16S ribosomal RNA". It matches the Rfam family "Bacterial small subunit ribosomal RNA", at positions 227 to 523 of the family's 1533-position model. The record is from RNAcentral. Lineage: Bacteria; Deltaproteobacteria.
GAGCCUGCGGCCGAUUAUUAAUCCUAGUUGGCGGGGUAACGGCCCACCAAGGGUACGAUCGGUAGCUGGUCUGAGAGGACGAUCAGCCACACUGGAACUGAGACACGGUCCAGACUCCUACGGGAGGCAGCAGUGGGGAAUAUUGCGCAAUGGGCGAAAGCCUGACGCAGCCAACCCGCGUGGGUGAUGAAGGCCUUCGGGUUGUAAAGCCCUGUCGUGAGGGAAGAAUACUGACGGUACCUCACAAGAAAGCGCCGGCUAACCCCGUGCCAGCAGCCGCGGUAA